This 440-nucleotide ribosomal RNA is filed under the name uncultured bacterium. Its description in RNAcentral is "partial 16S ribosomal RNA". It matches the Rfam family "Bacterial small subunit ribosomal RNA", at positions 338 to 795 of the family's 1533-position model. The record is from RNAcentral.
CCUACGGGAGGCAGCAGUGGGGGAUAUUGCACAAUGGGAGGAACCCUGAUGCAGCGACGCCGCGUGGGUGAAGAAGCGCCUCGGCGCGUAAAGCCCUGUCAGCAGGGAAGAAAAUGACGGUACCUGCAGAAGAAGCCCCGGCUAACUACGUGCCAGCAGCCGCGGUAAUACGUAGGGGGCAAGCGUUAUCCGGAAUUACUGGGUGUAAAGGGGGCGCAGACGGCGAUGCAAGCCAGGAGUGAAAGCCCGGGGCACAACCCUGGGACUGCUAUUGAAACUGCGUGGCUUGCGGGCAGGAGGGGCAGGCGGAAUGCCUGGUGUAGCGGUGAAAUGCGUAGAUAUCAGGAGGAACACCGGUGGCGAAGGCGGCCUGCUGGACUGCAACUGACGUUGAGGCCCGAAAGCGUGGGGAGCAAACAGGAUUAGAUACCCUGGUAGUC